UGGGGAAUAUUGCACAAUGGGCGCAAGCCUGAUGCAGCCAUGCCGCGUGUAUGAAGAAGGCCUUCGGGUUGUAAAGUACUUUCAGCGGGGAGGAAGGGAGUAAAGUUAAUACCUUUGCUCAUUGACGUUACCCGCAGAAGAAGCACCGGCUAACUCCGUGCCAGCAGCCGCGGUAAUACGGAGGGUGCAAGCGUUAAUCGGAAUUACUGGGCGUAAAGCGCACGCAGGCGGUUUGUUAAGUCAGAUGUGAAAUCCCCGGGCUCAACCUGGGACCUGCAGCUGAUACUGGCAAGCUUGAGUCUCGUAGAGGGGGGUAGAAUUCCAGGUGUAGCGGUGAGAUGCGUAGAGAUCUGGAGGAAUACCGGUGGCGAAGGCGGCCCCCUGGCCGAAGACUGACGCUCAGGUGCGAAAGCGUGGGGAGCAAACAGG
RNAcentral lists this ribosomal RNA (429 nucleotides) under Chloroflexota bacterium. Its description in RNAcentral is "Chloroflexi bacterium partial 16S ribosomal RNA". It matches the Rfam family "Bacterial small subunit ribosomal RNA", at positions 355 to 776 of the family's 1533-position model. The record is from RNAcentral. Lineage: Bacteria; Bacillati; Chloroflexota.